This 268-nucleotide ribosomal RNA is filed under the name uncultured bacterium. Its description in RNAcentral is "partial 16S ribosomal RNA". It matches the Rfam family "Bacterial small subunit ribosomal RNA", at positions 28 to 297 of the family's 1533-position model. The record is from RNAcentral.
GACGAACGCUGGCGGCGUGCUUAACACAUGCAAGUCGAGCGGUAAGGCUCCUUCGGGAGUACACGAGCGGCGAACGGGUGAGUAACACGUGAGCAAUCUGCCCUUCACUUCGGGAUAACUCCGGGAAACCGGUGCUAAUACCGAAUACGACCACUUCAGGCAUCUGAUGGUGGCGGAAAGUUCCGGCGGUGAAGGAUGAACUCGCGGCCUAUCAGCUUGUUGGUGAGGUAAGGCCCACCAAGGCAACGACGGGUAGCCGGCCCGACGA